Molecule: long non-coding RNA, 1017 nt
Filed under: Rattus norvegicus (Norway rat)
Lineage: Eukaryota; Metazoa; Chordata; Mammalia; Rodentia; Muridae
Description: long non-coding RNA NONRATT023757
Source: RNAcentral
CACUUGCAGAAUUUGGCGCUGGGCCCCGGAGCUCCCUCAGCUCCAGGCCAGUGUCGUGUUGACUUUCCUUUCAAUUUCUGGAACCCAACUGCCAUUACCACCCUCCAGAGACCUCUUACUAGAGGAGAAGCCAAAUUAACUCUAUAAAUCUGCCAUGUAGCUAUUAAAUAAAACCCAUUCACGAGGCGAGAAGAACACCACCCCAGCACUCCCUCUGACAGGGCUGGGGUAGGAGUGCCAAUGCUUCUCUAACCCCUGAGGCAUCUGUGCACCCUCUAGGAUGGAGGUCAGGAAACAGGUGGGGGCCUUACAUGCCUUUCAUGGUUUGUCUUGAGUUUAUUUUCUUAAACCUUAGGGUCUUUCAAGCCAGACCUGGAGCUCAAGAUUCUUCUGGAGGAAGGUGAGACACAGCCCUAUGCCACCUUGAGCUCCAGGCUAGAAAGGGACAGCCCCUAGCCCUGGCUUCUGCAACUGUGUGGUCUUGAACCUCCGUAUAGUCCGAAUCCCUCUGGCUCUCCUCAAAAUAUAAAACAAGCCUCCUUCCAAUAGCAUAUUGGUGCACACCCCUAAUCCCAGCACCUGGGAGGAGGAGGCGGCAGGAGCAUCAGGAGUUCAAGGCCAGCUCCUGCCCCCUAGCAGGGAUGGUAGGCUGCAUGAGAGUGUGUCUCAGAAAGAACCACCUGGUGCGGGUACAGGGAUGCUGGGAUUCUGAGAUGUCACUCAGUGCGGGAAAAGAUUCAAGGAGGGGAACAGAUCAAUGGCAGAAUGACUGUCUGUGCCGAGUUAAGGGCACUGAAAAUCUCAGCUCAUCUAUCGCUUUAUAGAAGAUAGAGCUUUCCCAUAGCAACCUGACGGGAGGAAGCAAGGCACUCUACAGUAAAGGAGUGGCCUUUCCAAGGAAGGGUCUAGGCUCCUUCUUCUCCAGAACAUGCACAGGACAUAGGAGAUCCAUAUUUAGAGACCUUUCGUGUUCGAACGUUUUCUAACUAAAGUUAAUUAUAUUGAGAUUACCCCGAA